Molecule: transfer RNA, 60 nt
Filed under: Lactiplantibacillus brownii
Lineage: Bacteria; Bacillati; Bacillota; Bacilli; Lactobacillales; Lactobacillaceae
Description: tRNA-OTHER
Rfam family: tRNA
About the family: Transfer RNA (tRNA) molecules are approximately 80 nucleotides in length. Their secondary structure includes four short double-helical elements and three loops (D, anti-codon, and T loops). Further hydrogen bonds mediate the characteristic L-shaped molecular structure. tRNAs have two regions of fundamental functional importance: the anti-codon, which is responsible for specific mRNA codon recognition, and the 3' end, to which the tRNAs corresponding amino acid is attached (by aminoacyl-tRNA synthetases). tRNAs cope with the degeneracy of the genetic code in two manners: having more than one tRNA (with a specific anti-codon) for a particular amino acid; and 'wobble' base-pairing, i.e. permitting non-standard base-pairing at the 3rd anti-codon position.
Source: RNAcentral
GUCGCCGUGGGCUAAUUGGUAAGCCACAAUGUGAUGCGGGUUCGAAACCCGCCGGCGAUA